Molecule: non-coding RNA, 24 nt
Filed under: Arabidopsis thaliana (thale cress)
Lineage: Eukaryota; Viridiplantae; Streptophyta; Magnoliopsida; Brassicales; Brassicaceae
Source: RNAcentral
GACACAUGUCCGACUCUUAGAUCU